This 422-nucleotide ribosomal RNA is filed under the name uncultured prokaryote. Its description in RNAcentral is "bacterial SSU rRNA". It matches the Rfam family "Bacterial small subunit ribosomal RNA", at positions 355 to 774 of the family's 1533-position model. The record is from RNAcentral.
UGAGGAAUAUUGGUCAAUGGACGAAAGUCUGAACCAGCCAUCCCGCGUGCAGGAUGACGGCCCUAUGGGUUGUAAACUGCUUUUCUACGCCAAGAAACCUACCAACGUGUUGGUAGCUGACGGUAGCGUAGGAAUAAGCACCGGCUAACUCCGUGCCAGCAGCCGCGGUAAUACGGAGGGUGCAAGCGUUAUCCGGAUUCAUUGGGUUUAAAGGGUGCGCAGGUGGGAAUGUAAGUCAGUGGUGAAAUACUGCCGCUUAACGGUAGAACUGCCAUUGAUACUGCGUUUCUUGAGUAUGGUUGAGGUAGGUGGAAUGUGUUGUGUAGCGGUGAAAUGCAUAGAUAUGACACAGAACGCCGAUUGCGAAGGCAACUUACUAAGCCAUUACUGACGCUGAGGCACGAAAGCGUGGGGAGCGAACA